This 389-nucleotide unclassified non-coding RNA is filed under the name soil metagenome. RNAcentral's name for it is "partial contains 5.8S ribosomal RNA, internal transcribed spacer 2, and large subunit ribosomal RNA". The stretch from base 1 to 120 matches the Rfam family "5.8S ribosomal RNA", at positions 35 to 154 of the family's 154-position model. The record is from RNAcentral.
GAUGAAGAACGCAGUGAAAUGCGAUAAGUAAUGUGAAUUGCAGAAUUCAGUGAAUCAUCGAAUCUUUGAACGCACCUUGCGCUCCUUGGUAUUCCGAGGAGCAUGCCUGUUUGAGUGUCAUUAAAUUCUCAACCUUAUUGGCUUUUGCUGAUAAUGGCUUGGACUUGGGGGUCUUUUUGCUGGCUUUCAUUAGUCUGCUCCCCUUAAAUGUAUUAGCCGGUGCCCCGCAGUGGAACCGUCUAUUGGUGUGAUAAUUAUCUCCGCCGUGGACGUCUGCUAUAAUGGGUUUGCGCUGCUUCUAACCGUCUCUCGGGACAACACAAAUGACAAUUUGACCUCAAAUCAGGUAGGACUACCCGCUGAACUUAAGCAUAUCAAUAAGCGGAGGA